UACGAAGGGGGCUAGCGUUGCUCGGAUUCAUUGGGCGUAAAGGGCGCGUAGGCGGCGGGGUCAGUCGGGUGUGAAAUCUUGGGGCUUAACCCCGAAACGGCACUCGAAACUGCCCGGCUGGAGGGCCGGAGAGGAGAUCGGAAUUCACGGUGUAGCAGUGAAAUGCGUAGAGAUCGUGAGGAAGACCCGUGGCGAAGGCGGAUCUCUGGACGGCUAACUGACGCUGAGGCGCGAAGGCCAGGGGAGCAAACGGG
This 254-nucleotide ribosomal RNA is filed under the name uncultured bacterium. Its description in RNAcentral is "partial 16S ribosomal RNA". It matches the Rfam family "Bacterial small subunit ribosomal RNA", at positions 524 to 776 of the family's 1533-position model. The record is from RNAcentral.